UGGGCAGUUACCAAAGUGGCCAAAUGGGACUGACUGUAAAUCAGUUGCGAGAGCUUCGGAGGUUCGAAUCCUCCACUGCCCACCCA
Molecule: transfer RNA, 86 nt
Filed under: Tengunoibacter tsumagoiensis
Lineage: Bacteria; Bacillati; Chloroflexota; Ktedonobacteria; Ktedonobacterales; Dictyobacteraceae
Also listed under: 1 other name
Description: tRNA-Tyr
Rfam family: tRNA
About the family: Transfer RNA (tRNA) molecules are approximately 80 nucleotides in length. Their secondary structure includes four short double-helical elements and three loops (D, anti-codon, and T loops). Further hydrogen bonds mediate the characteristic L-shaped molecular structure. tRNAs have two regions of fundamental functional importance: the anti-codon, which is responsible for specific mRNA codon recognition, and the 3' end, to which the tRNAs corresponding amino acid is attached (by aminoacyl-tRNA synthetases). tRNAs cope with the degeneracy of the genetic code in two manners: having more than one tRNA (with a specific anti-codon) for a particular amino acid; and 'wobble' base-pairing, i.e. permitting non-standard base-pairing at the 3rd anti-codon position.
Source: RNAcentral